GGAUCAAAUUGUCGGUCGCGCCUCGGUACGCACUGGUAUUACUGGUUCCUACCUUCUGACGAACCAUGAUGUCAUUAAUUUGGUGUCAUGGGGAAUCAGGACUGUUACUUUGAAAAAAUUAGAGUGUUUAAAGCAGGCUCACGCUUGAAUACAUUAGCAUGGAAUAACGAAAUAGGACGUUUGAUUCUAUUUUGUUGGUUUCUAGAGUCGCCGUA
This 215-nucleotide ribosomal RNA is filed under the name Campeiostachys nutans. RNAcentral describes it as "Elymus nutans partial small subunit ribosomal RNA". The stretch from base 37 to 215 matches the Rfam family "Eukaryotic small subunit ribosomal RNA", at positions 684 to 864 of the family's 1831-position model. Lineage: Eukaryota; Viridiplantae; Streptophyta; Magnoliopsida; Poales; Poaceae. The record is from RNAcentral.